Molecule: ribosomal RNA, 253 nt
Filed under: uncultured bacterium
Lineage: Bacteria
Description: partial 16S ribosomal RNA
Rfam family: Bacterial small subunit ribosomal RNA
Source: RNAcentral
UACGUAGGGUGCGAGCGUUGUCCGGAAUUACUGGGCGUAAAGAGCUCGUAGGUGGUUUGUCGCGUUGUUCGUGAAAACUCACAGCUUAACUGUGGGCGUGCGGGCGAUACGGGCAGACUGGAGUACUGCAGGGGAGACUGGAAUUCCUGGUGUAGCGGUGGAAUGCGCAGAUAUCAGGAGGAACACCGGUGGCGAAGGCGGGUCUCUGGGCAGUAACUGACGCUGAGGCACGAAAGUGUGGGGAUCAAACAGG